Molecule: ribosomal RNA, 202 nt
Filed under: Klebsiella pneumoniae
Lineage: Bacteria; Pseudomonadati; Pseudomonadota; Gammaproteobacteria; Enterobacterales; Enterobacteriaceae
Description: partial 23S ribosomal RNA
Rfam family: Bacterial large subunit ribosomal RNA
Source: RNAcentral
GGGUUGUGAGGUUAAGCGACUAAGCGUACACGGUGGAUGCCCUGGCAGUCAGAGGCGAUGAAGGACGUGCUAAUCUGCGAAAAGCGUCGGUAAGGUGAUAUGAACCGUUAUAACCGGCGAUGUCCGAAUGGGGAAGCCCAGUGCAAUUCGUUGCACUAUCGUUAACUGAAUACAUAGGUUAACGAGGCGAACCGGGGGAACU